UCUAACGCCGAUGGUGGCGCCCUUCAGCAGUCUUAUGUAUCGAUUCGAUCUAUAGUUAUCGAACUACAAUGCAACAGUCACUUGGAAAUUUAAAGAGAAUUUGAAGGUUUCUUU
This is a long non-coding RNA of Frieseomelitta varia, 114 nucleotides long. RefSeq lists it as uncharacterized. The record is from RefSeq and is a predicted model, not a curated record. Lineage: Eukaryota; Metazoa; Arthropoda; Insecta; Hymenoptera; Apidae. The transcript has 2 exons.